Molecule: long non-coding RNA, 1936 nt
Organism: Phasianus colchicus (ring-necked pheasant)
Lineage: Eukaryota; Metazoa; Chordata; Aves; Galliformes; Phasianidae
Source: Ensembl
AUGGGCUCCCCUCCCCAGCUGCUGAGGUUUUGGCCUUGCUUCGGUGGAAACUUGGUUGAAGUACAAAUACAGAAUAGCAGCUGCAUGUUUGAAGAAUGCAGUGUGACAGGAUCCAGUUGGGUACAAACCAAGAACAAUCCAAGAGCUCAAGGAAACUUUUAUGUAUGGAAAUUUGGAUUUCUAGGAUCCUUGAAGGCCCAAAUGGUGCAAAAAUCCUGGAGUCUGUGAUGCUUCAGUGAAUUGCAAGACUAGACUUGGAUCUGCUCUCAAAAGUGGUUUUACACUGGAGUAAUGGGAAUGGAGUUCCUGGCUUGCGCCAGUUGAUAAGAAUGAAUUAACAAAUGGGCCUUUGAAAUUGAAGUACCUUCAUUUUCAAGCCUGCCUUGAUGUUGGGAUGGCGCUGCAGAGAACUUCCUGCUGAAAUAACCAAUGCUUCUAAGGAAGCAACACCAGCAAAGGACUGUGAAUGGUUUUGUAGAGAGAAACACACAUUCAGUGUACAUGGACAGUGCUGUAAUUUGUGAGGCCUUUUUGUGUGGUAGGAUUUUUUAAAUUUUAUUUUAUUUGAAAGCACUUAACGUUUUGCUGUUUCACUUCUGGUGAGACUAAAGAAACUUGUCACUAAAAUGCUGAGCAGUUUUCUAGGAACAUCUGGCAGGAGAAGUUUCAUCUCAGCUUGGAAGAACACAUGAAUGUGUUUCCUUUUUCAUGAAAAACUUUAAAUUUUGGAGUAUUUUCCUCUCUGAAAAAUUUCUGGAGUCUGAUUAAGCACACACAAGUUGUGACACAGUUACCACAGGAGCUCUAGAUUCUUUUUAUUUUAGGUUUUCAGGCACUGAAACCUAACAGGCAAGGUUCCUGAAUUUAUGCCUCCCACAUCUGAAGAGCAGGGAAUCACAUAUUGAAACAGUUCUGCCCGACUUCCUCCUUCUUCUUGAGACAGUAAUGCAGCUGCCUAUGGCUGAAGGUUCCUGUGUGUGGCUUGGAGAAUCAAGCAGAGCACUGCAUGAAUUUCAAUAAGCAUGCCUCCUUCUCCAUCCAUAGUCCCACAUGCCAGUCUCAAUUUUGUGCCUAGAUGAAACAAUUAAUGUGUGUGGGCUGCAUGAAGCCACGGGCAGCUAGAAUAUGGGUGUCAUUUAGCACUGCAAAUGCGGAACUUGCUGACAAGCAUGUUGAACACAGAGUCAGAUUCAGUUCUUUUGCUACAGAGUUCCUGGGCACUAGUCUAUGUACGUAGAAUAUAUACACUAAAAUGCAUUUAACCGGGGACUGCUCUUUAUAAAUACUCUGAACAACUCUAGAUCUAUAAAUUAUGCCUCAUGGUGUAGCUAGGAAAAAUCAAGAAUGCCUUAGAUUAAAGGAGAAAAGAAGAUUGUGUUCUAGUAAAAAUCAAUUAAAUAUUUAAGCAGAAAAAAAGUAAUUUUGUCUGAUUUUAACUGGUAGCAACUGAAAAUACAUUUUAGGAGCCUUUUACAGAACAGCUAAUUCCUCAUUCGCUGCCCCAAAAAAUUCUCUGAUUGUUCAUGUACACAAAAGCAAUAAGAAGUGAUUACUCAUUUAUUCAAUAUAUAAUUUGCAGAGCAGUGAUAUAAAAUAAGAAGUUUAGAGAGCUGGAAAUACAAAGUGUUGAAGAAAAUGUAUAUGUACUGUAACAACUGAAUAUUGGAUAGGAGGCAACAGAGGUUGGAUAAUAAGACCAGGGACUCACAAACUAGCUUGAGGAGGGACCUCAGCAACAUGAAGAAAUCAGAGAAGCUGCUGAAAUUAGCCAAAACAUCAAAGCAUGACUGAGAAAGAAAUGGGCAAAUGAACUAAGUCAUGGCUGGAGAGGGGGGAAAUGAACUAUGAAACAAUGAUUGGAAAGUUAUCAUUAGAAUGAAAAGAACUUUCUAAUUAAAAACAAAUAAACAAACAAACAAACAAAAUGUUAUAGUCA